Molecule: non-coding RNA, 445 nt
Organism: Malus domestica (apple)
Lineage: Eukaryota; Viridiplantae; Streptophyta; Magnoliopsida; Rosales; Rosaceae
Source: RefSeq, a predicted model, not a curated record
GGACUUUAGGUGGGACCCUACCCCCUAAAUCCCUCCCCAAAACCCGUGGGAUGUCUCUCUCUCAUCUCCCUUCACUCUCUCUCUCUUUCUUCAUUUCAGUAUCACUCUCUCUCUCUUACUCUCGAACUCUCUCAAGCUCUCGGACAAACACCAAGAACAAUCACAAUCCUACACCAACGUCCGAUCUAAGAUCACCACGACACUCCUUAGGACCUCACGAGCACGGGAAUACCAGUUUUAGGUUAAACAAAGAUCACCACGAGUCUUAGGAAGUUCCAAGGAGGCUCGGAGUGCCUCGUUUGAACAAAAUGGACGUCGGGAUCGUCGGGUUCGAGUUUGGCCGAAAUUGAAGAAUUUUGAAAGGUGGAACAUUUAACGAGGACGAGCACAUCCAGGGGCGUCAAGGGGGUUACGACCCGGCGACAUACCAGUGAGUGGGCAUUGC